UGCGCAGGCGGGCUUGUAAGCCAGUGGUGAAAUACUGCCGCUCAACGGUAGAACUGCCAUUGAUACUGCAAGUCUUGAAUAUGGUUGAGGUAGGCGGAAUGUGUCGUGUAGCGGUGAAAUGCAUAGAUAUGACACAGAACGCCAAUUGCGAAGGCAGCUUACUGAGCCAUUAUUGACGCUGAGGCACGAAAGCGUGGGGAGCGAACAGGAUUAGAUACCCUGGUAGUCC
Molecule: ribosomal RNA, 229 nt
Filed under: uncultured bacterium
Lineage: Bacteria
Description: partial 16S ribosomal RNA
Rfam family: Bacterial small subunit ribosomal RNA
Source: RNAcentral